AGCUCCAAUAGCGUAUAUUAAAGUUGUUGCAGUUAAAAAGCUCGUAGUUGGAUUUCUGGGUUUCGAGACGGGCCGGGGCCGUCAAGGCCUUCGCGCCUGCUCUCGUUCCCAUCUUCGGGUGGAUCCGGUCUGGCAUUAGGUUGUUGGGUCGGGAAAGCCCGUCGUUUACUGUGAAAAAAUUAGAGUGUUCAAAGCAGGCUUAGGCCAUUGAAUACAUUAGCAUGGAAUAAUGAGAUAAGACCGUGGCGUUUUAUUUUGUUGGUUUGCACGCCAAGGUAAUGAUUAAUAGGGACAGUUGGGGGUAUUCGUAUUCAAUUGUCAGAGGUGAAAUUCUUGGAUUUAUGGAAGACGAACUACUGCGAAAGCAUUUACCAAGGAUGUUUUCAUUAAUCAAGAACGA
RNAcentral lists this ribosomal RNA (400 nucleotides) under phytoplankton environmental sample. Its description in RNAcentral is "partial small subunit ribosomal RNA". It matches the Rfam family "Eukaryotic small subunit ribosomal RNA", at positions 587 to 986 of the family's 1831-position model. The record is from RNAcentral.